This 552-nucleotide ribosomal RNA is filed under the name Triticum aestivum (bread wheat). Its description in RNAcentral is "partial small subunit ribosomal RNA". Lineage: Eukaryota; Viridiplantae; Streptophyta; Magnoliopsida; Poales; Poaceae. The record is from RNAcentral.
AUGUGGCAUCAAGAGAGAAGCAAGUAUAACACAAACAAAUCAAGACCAACAUUUGGACUUUGUUGUAAGGAAGGCAAAGUCAAACUGCCACCCUUGAAAAAUGCGGCAUCCCUUCAACUGCUACUAACAUCUGAUGAAAAGGGAGAACCAUCAAAUUACAGAGACAAUAUCAGGAAUUAUAAAUCAAUGUUUGCAUUUAGUUCGAUGGGUGGCCAGGUCGACUACAAGAUAAACAAAAAAGGGGGUGCACCGUAUGUUUUUGGCUUGGAUGGCCAAAACUAUCAUCAAAUUGGCACGUUGCUACCUAAAGAUAAUGGAGAUAAUGCUCUCAGGCCAAAGUUUGCUCAAUUGUACAUUUAUGAUACAGAAAAUGAGGUCAGGAACAGAAUGCAGGCUUCAACCUCAAAGGAAAGGAAAAAACAACUUGAUGAAGGCAUUGUUUCUGGAUUAUUGCAGAUGCUUGAUGAUCAUAAUGAGUUAGUGAAAAAUCAUUCCGUAUGGCAAGGGAUAGAUACCAAGAAUCGGAUCUCGAAAAUGUUAGGUUGUGAUUAA